CAAAAAACAAACAAAAAA
This 18-nucleotide small RNA is filed under the name Arabidopsis thaliana (thale cress). Its description in RNAcentral is "ATSL217800". Lineage: Eukaryota; Viridiplantae; Streptophyta; Magnoliopsida; Brassicales; Brassicaceae. The record is from RNAcentral.